Molecule: ribosomal RNA, 468 nt
Filed under: uncultured bacterium
Lineage: Bacteria
Description: partial 16S ribosomal RNA
Rfam family: Bacterial small subunit ribosomal RNA
Source: RNAcentral
GACGAACGCUGGCGGCGUGCUUAACACAUGCAAGUCGAACGGUAAAGCCCUGCCUUUGUGGGGUGCUCGAGUGGCGAACGGGUAUGUCACACGUGAGUAACCUGCCCUUGACUUUGGGAUCACUUCAGGUAACUGGGGCUACUACCGGAUAGGAGCUCCUGCUGCAUGGUGGGGGUUGGAAAGUUUCGGCGGUUGGGGAUGGACUCGCGGCUUAUCAGCUUGUUGGUGGGGUAGUGGCUUACCAAGGCGUUGACGGGUAGCCGGCCUGAGAGGGUGACCGGCCACAUUGGGACUGAGAUACGGCCCAGACUCCUACGGGAGGCAGCAGUGGGGAAUAUUGCACAAUGGGCGGAAGCCUGAUGCAGCAACGCCGCGUGCGGGAUGACGGCCUUCGGGUUGUAAACCGCUUUCGCCAGUGACGAAGCGUGAGUGACGGUAAUGGGUAAAGAAGCACCGGCUAACUACGUG